UAUAAUUUGGUGUAAAAUGCACAUUAGUUUUUGAUACUUAUAGAAAUAGUUUAAUUCUAUUAAAUAUAA
Molecule: transfer RNA, 69 nt
Filed under: Trichosia lengersdorfi
Lineage: Eukaryota; Metazoa; Arthropoda; Insecta; Diptera; Sciaridae
Description: tRNA-Gln
Source: RNAcentral